AAAGAACAGCUUAUGAGGAUUUAAUUAGAGAGGAAGGGAACAAAGUUAGGUGAGAAACAGUGAGGGUUUAAACUAGUGACAUUGGUAAAGAAGGAAGAUGGACAGAUUCAGUGACAUUUAAAUAUACCUGAGACAGAAAAUUUUCGUUGAUUCAUUUUGAAAUAUGAAAGAUUUAAGGAUGACCCAGGGUUACUUAGCAUGAAGAAAUUGAUGGACAAUGAUCCAAUUUACUGAAGGGUGAGAAAAAGUAGGUUUCUUUUUUGUGGAAGUGGGGAAAUGUGGGCUUGUGUUGUGAGGAAUUAUGAGUUUAGAUUCAAAUAUACUAAUUUUUUUUUGUUGGUUCCUAUUUUUCAAUGCCUUUUCAUGAACUAUCAUUCACAUGUAUUUCUCAAAAUUUAAAACUACUUUUAAUAGGAGUCUUUGUACUAAUCCCUUAUUCUUAAACCCAAUUUAUCUCUUGUUCCUCAAAACUUGCACCCUCUUAGACAUUCAACUUACCUAAUUAUCCUCCUCUUCCCAUAUGUUAAUUGUUGGCUGUUUUCACGGCUUUGAGUUAACUUUGUGCUUGACAUCAAAGCACACAACGUAGCUGCCUAUUCAAGAGAAGAUUUGCUGGCCGGCUGUGAAGAAAUGAGGUCGGCAGACAGCCUUCAGCUCUCAGCUCCCUUAGUGUAUGCCUCAGCUGCAGAGAGCUACCUGCCUAGAGGACAUGCUCUUCUCAGGAGCAGCCUACUUCUGAUGACUGAGGAAGACAAGGGUAUAAAUGUCCAGUGCUUUCAGUUCAAUAUAAGACAAUGCAGAUAUUUAUUCCAAAUCAAUCCUGCACCAGAAGCUCCAUUUCUGCAUUCGCUUCCAGAAAACACAGCAGCCGUAUGUGAAUUUGGGAGUGGUCCCACGAACCGGUUAUGAGACGAGGUUUUGGAGCUGGAUCACACCUGACACAACUGGCAUUGAAAACCUUAUUACCAAGAGCCUCUGGCACAAGGUAGAAGUCCAGUUGUAAAAACAUUCAUUGCUGAUGAAUUGGGACAGUAGAAGUUGAUGGAAAAACAGAAUUAAGAAGUGUGGUAUAUCUGGCACUUCAAACUUUUUGGGAAAAAAAGAUAACUGCAAAUGCAAAGACAAUGGAAUUGGAUGCUUUUUGCUAAACUGCGCUAAUACUCAACAAAA
RNAcentral lists this long non-coding RNA (1170 nucleotides) under Homo sapiens (human). RNAcentral describes it as "long non-coding RNA NONHSAT168368.1". Lineage: Eukaryota; Metazoa; Chordata; Mammalia; Primates; Hominidae. The record is from RNAcentral.